RNAcentral lists this long non-coding RNA (498 nucleotides) under Cricetulus griseus (Chinese hamster). RNAcentral describes it as "lncRNA (ENSCGRG00000025692.1)". The record is from RNAcentral. Lineage: Eukaryota; Metazoa; Chordata; Mammalia; Rodentia; Cricetidae.
CUGACACUCCUGCCCGCGCCCGGGGGCUUGGUGGGCUCUUGAAUGAAUCAACCCUGCUUGCAAGGGCUAGUCGGGGGGUCAAGUCCUGCAACAAAGCUGAAGGACCAGCAGAGACUCAGUGGGAGAGAUGUCGCCCACCCAUCCUCACUGUGGCCUCUCCUUUCCGCGUUCCCUCCCUGCCCCAAGCUUCCAAACUCGCAAAAAGGCCUCUGGGACUCUGACCACCAGAGUGGAGGAAAUCGGCCUCUUCAGACCUUAGACAGGGAUCGAGGAAUGGAAAAUACCACCACCUCCAGCAGAAGUGUUGCAAGAACUGAUUGCAGGGGAACUGGAGUUCCAGAUGUUGCACUUGAAGGGCUCAAGUGUGAGCAGGUGGCCAUGGAUUUUCAUCACAGGUUGCAGCAGAUGGUUUCAAUAGUUCUGUUGAAUGCUCUUCAUCUUUGCCUUCAAGAGGAACCCCAGAUUUCAUUUACGGUCCAUUGCUAUGUUCUAGUAUGA